Nymphaea colorata (pocket water lily) is the source of this 3503-nucleotide long non-coding RNA. RefSeq lists it as uncharacterized. The record is from RefSeq and is a predicted model, not a curated record. NCBI's taxonomy places the organism in Eukaryota, Viridiplantae, Streptophyta, Magnoliopsida, Nymphaeales, Nymphaeaceae. The transcript has 3 exons.
UAAAUCUCUAGUCUCUCACUUUCGUGUCUUGUCAAUCCCUGCGUAGCAUAGCUGGUUAGAUAGACCUGCAGCACGUGAACGACAUCCGCCUGUGAACAUGGUGCUUUAGGCUCAAUUCUGUACGUGUUGCCCUUCUAUGGUAUUGGAGGUUAAGGGCGGCAAAGGGUUAAGUCUUGCAUACUUUCAGGACAAACAUUUGUGGUUUGAUUCUCUUCGGUGUUAUCCUCUGGUCUGCGUUGUGGUUCGAUUUCCUUGGGUUGCAUCGUGGCGAAACCAUUGACCCUUCUUGAGCACGUAGGUCUUUAACCCAAACCCCUCCUAACCAUCAAAUGCUUUCUUAAGGCUUUCUACAGACUGAUGUGUAUCCUCUGUUGGUGAAAGGAGUGAUACUUUGCUAUCUUCUCUUCUCUCCCUUUAUGGUUUAUUUCAUUUUAUUCCUCUGAGUUGUAUCUUUAUACUGUCGAUGUAUCUCUAAUCUCUCUUUCUUCUUUCUGUUUUCGAUAGCAGCGAAACGUUUCUUUCGGUAGGUCCGUAGGAUUUUGUUUCUAGAGUUAUUGUUUAUUGUUUUAUUUAAAAUCAGUUGUUUAUUUUGAUUUUUCUGUGUUAUUUUGCGGGUUAUAUAUAUAUAUACAUAUAUAUGUGUGUGUGCGCCCUGUUGUACUCUGAUGCCCAUAUUUUCUAAAGUUACUAUAGCGGUGCUUGUAUCUCUGUACCUGUACCUCAAACAUACUCAUGACUUAGUUAGAUUUGGUUUCAGCCUAAUUUGUCGACAUCAUGCAACCCUUGUCCUUGCAUCUCCUCUGCUAGAGGUGCCACUACAGCCACUGUCGCUCAUGAGGGUCCAUUCCUCAAAGUGCUCCCAUAAAAAGCUUGAAACAUACCAAUACACAUAUAUCUGGUCAUUGGUCAAUUCUUGCUAAUAUAUACACACAGUCUACCAAGAUUUCUGAUAAGCCUGUUUGGUUUGCAUAAACAAAACGAGCAGAAAGAUUGAUACCUAAAGCAACUUGUUUUUAUGUACUUGUAUGUAUGCAUUGUGAGGAUAUAUAUUUUUGUUAGACAGUACAUCGGAGAUUCAAAAUGGAAAUAAGAGAAAGAUUAUGUCACCUAAAUAAGUUAUGACCCAAUGUAAAGGAACAGGAGGAUAUAUCUACUGCAAUUUUGUGUUUUAUUGUACAGUAGUCUUUAACUUGAGUAUAUGUUUCCACAGAAAAAAUAACACAGAAACAUAAAUUUGGACAAGGACAACAGUAGACCUAGAAGAAGAUGAUUGUGUGUAAGGAGAUCAAUGUAUUGGGCUAAGACCAAAUGUAUCCUCUAGCAAAUCUGGUUAAUUGGACACUCACAUAUUCAUAGUCAAUUUGGAAUUCAAAUUCAAAUGAAAAAAAAAUUAUGCCAUAGCUGAACCCCAGUAUUAACCUCGUGAUGCGGACCCUUUUGAUGGGAAGCUUGACGUUGCUUAUCUAGCGAUGAAGAGAUCACCGGUCUAUCAAUCUACAACGAUGAAAUUUUCCACCACUAGAGGUCGGUGGUCACUCUGCUCCCUCAGUUUCACGGAUGCCAACAAUGUCCACCGCCGGAGAAGUCGCCGUCGGGCCAUCGCCCUCUCCGUGAAGUUAGUGUUACUCUUUGAAGGAAAUUUCUCCAGAGGGAUCUCUGUGGAUGUUGUUGAAGAACCAGCAGAAUUCGUAUUUUGAACCCUUCUCCUCAUCCACUCCAUAUUCAUGCAUCUCCUUCCAUGAUUCGAUUGAAGGGAUCCCCGUAAGGCCAUCUAACUCUGAGAGCCUCUGUUUCUUCCUUUAGUUCCCUGUUCUACUGCACUAUUGAGGCGAAGUUGGAAAUUAGGAGCUUUGUCUUUGCUAUUCCUGGACUCUGAAAUGUGCUUUUUGACCUUUUGUUGUCCCUUCCCCGCAUGUGAGUUUUUCGUUUCGGAUUUUUUAUUUUUGAUGAACCAUUAAAGUUAUGUCUUUUUUUUUUUUUUUUACUUGUUUGCAGCUUUUUUUAGUUGGACUUCCGCUUCUUUUGUUAAGUUUUUAUCCAUGGUAGUAUGUUCAUAUGCAUCGAUUUCAUUUUAGAACUGUCUAUUUGAUGCUCUUUUCUUAGUCAUUUGUCAUCCACAAAGUUCUACUGCAGUUUGCUAGUUGAAAUUCUUUUGUAUCUAACGGUUUCAUGCAUUAUCUAAGUAUUUACUUAUUUCAGCUUUUUCUUUUUUUCUUUUUUUUGGGGCUGUUCAUCCUUGAGUCCCAGUCAGAGUUUCGUACGCGAACGAUGGCGUUAAGACGAGUGCAUCUCGAUCUAAGCCCAUUUUCAUUUAGAUUCACAUCAAUUGUUCGUUAAGCUCAUAACUUUGGUACCUGUCCAAGUUUGAGAGAGAAUCAUUCUAAGAAAGAUGGAGCGUACACAACUGAUAUUGCUAUCUUCUGUUGCAAUUAAAGUCUGUAAUUGUCUUCACGUGGCAGGAAGAAAUGGAGAACAAGUUUAGGACCAUAAAUUUUAUUACUCAGCAUAGGCACUGCCGCCUGCCUGGCCUGGAAAGUUUGUCGUUGAGCAGUGCCAUCAUGUUCACUUUCUUUAUUGCUUUUACACAGGAUGGAUUUGCUGCUCUGAUGCUUGACUAUCAUAGAAGAUAACAAUCUCUAUUUUUCAGGAACUUUAUUUGGUUUGGUAGCAUUCACCCAUCCAUGAAUCACUUAACCAGCACAUUGUUCUUCAUUUUAGUUCUCAAUUCACUCUCUGCUCUUCAGUUUUAAUAUUGAAUGAUUGAACACAUUCUCCUUUACACCUUAAGUUGGAAUUGCAUAUGCUCUCCAUUGUAUUGUAGCAAACCGUUUUUGUGGUUCUAAUUAUGCUUUCAUAGUGACCAAUAUUAUUGCAAGUGAUUUUCAUCCUUAUUGUUUUCUCUACAAUACCUUAGGGCAUAACUUUUUCAUGUACUUCUAGAUUAUCUUACAGAUAACUGCCAAAAAUAAGUAGCCAGCAAUGGUAGCUACAUAGGAAGUUCAGUCCAUUCUACCUGGUUCAACAAUCCUUUCAGUUGCUCUAUCAACGACGAAGAUCAGGAAGCAGAAAAGGCCUUGCUUCGGUUCAGAGAAUUUCAUAAAAUGGCAAAGGUUAUUGGCGUUUGAAAAGUGCUUUUAACAUGCGUGGAGAAGGAGGUUGCCAUGGCAGCCCUUCUUUUUAUCUUUUUCCGGCAGUUCCUUCUUCCAUCGGGUAUUCUCCAGAUGAAGCGGAAAAAGGCUGCCGUUACGGCCCCAUUUUAUCGCAGCCCAUCUUCCUGUCGACCGGAGAUGCUGGUGAGGAAAAUGAAGAUGCAACAUGGCAGCCCCUUGUUCAUCAGCCGCAAGGAAAGGGGCCAGCCCGACGAAACCAGGUCUAGUCUGUCAGACAUCUUAUACUGCAAAACAAAAGAAAGAGUGGGAUAUAUAUAUACAUAUGAGAGAGUGGUAACUACCAAAUUAUUGUAUUAUUUGAAGCCGAAUGAGAAUGGUUUUGGUUGUCGAUUG